GACGAACGCGGCGGCGUGCCUAAUACAUGCAAGUAGAACGCUGAAGAGAGGAGCUUGCUCUUCUUGGAUGAGUUGCGAACGGGUGAGUAACGCGUAGGUAACCUGCCUGGUAGCGGGGGAUAACUAUUGGAAACGAUAGCUAAUACCGCAUGAUAUUGAAUAUCGCAUGAUAAUUAAUUGAAAGAUGCAAUUGCAUCACUACCAGAUGGACCUGCGUUGUAUUAGCUAGUUGGUGAGGUAACGGCUCACCAAGGCGACGAUACGUAGCCGACCUGAGAGGGUGAUCGGCCACACUGGGACUGAGACACGGCCCAGACUCCUACGGGAGGCAGCAGUAGGGAAUCUUCGGCAAUGGGGGGAACCCUGACCGAGCAACGCCGCGUGAGUGAAGAAGGUUUUCGGAUCGUAAAGCUCUGUUGUAAGAGAAGAACGGGUGUGAGAGUGGAAAG
RNAcentral lists this ribosomal RNA (449 nucleotides) under Streptococcus sanguinis. RNAcentral's name for it is "bacterial SSU rRNA". It matches the Rfam family "Bacterial small subunit ribosomal RNA", at positions 28 to 464 of the family's 1533-position model. Lineage: Bacteria; Bacillati; Bacillota; Bacilli; Lactobacillales; Streptococcaceae. The record is from RNAcentral.